This 440-nucleotide ribosomal RNA is filed under the name Cycloramphus fuliginosus. RNAcentral's name for it is "partial 16S ribosomal RNA". It matches the Rfam family "Bacterial large subunit ribosomal RNA", at positions 1814 to 2466 of the family's 2925-position model. Lineage: Eukaryota; Metazoa; Chordata; Amphibia; Anura; Cycloramphidae. The record is from RNAcentral.
CAUCGCCUCUUGAAUUCAUAAGAGGUCCAGCCUGCCCAGUGACUUUAUUCAACGGCCGCGGUAUCCUAACCGUGCGAAGGUAGCGUAAUCACUUGUUCUUUAAAUGAGGACUAGUAUGAAAGGCACCACGAGGGUUAUACUGUCUCCUUUUUCCAAUCAGUGAAACUAAUCUCCCCAUGAAGAAGCGGGGAUAAUAAUAUAAGACGAGAAGACCCUAUGGAGCUUUAAAUAAAAAUAACAAUUGCUACUUAUUUAACUAUUUCAGAAAAUUAAACUAUAUCUUAGCAUCAUGAUUAUUAAUUUUAGGUUGGGGUGACCACGGAGAAUAAAAUAUCCUCCAUAUUGAAAUAGAGCCUUAUCUCUAAGAAAAAAGCUACAACUUUAAACAUCAAUAAAUUGACAUUAAUUGACCCAAUAUUUUGACCAAUGAACCAAGUUAC